RNAcentral lists this long non-coding RNA (1495 nucleotides) under Homo sapiens (human). RNAcentral describes it as "HSALNT0106226". The record is from RNAcentral. Lineage: Eukaryota; Metazoa; Chordata; Mammalia; Primates; Hominidae.
UGCUCACAGAGAGGGAGCGGCUCACGAGACAGAGACAGCAAACCUCAGCUGGGGUAGAUUCUGGACAUCUUCCCCAAAAAAGGCCAUGAAAGUGGGAGGGAAAUAAGGCCCAAAAAAGCAGGUAAAAACGAGGCUGGUGCUAGGUUGUCUCCCAAAAAUUCACGGCCACCUGGAAUCUUAGAAUGUGAUUUUAUUUGGAAAUAGGGUCUUUGCAGACAUAGUUAGUUAAGAUGAGGUUAUACUCAUCUUAAGCUCACCUAAUCCAAUGACUGAUGCCCUUAUUUAUAAAAAGAGAAAAUAGCGACACACACAUACACACACACUCACGGAGAAUGCCACGUGACAAUGGAGACAGGGAUUGCAGUGAUGUUGCUACAAGCCAAGAAACACCCAGGAUCGCCAGCAGCCACCAGGAGCCAGGAGAGAGGCACGGAGCAGUUUCUCCCUCAGAACCCCUGGACGGAACCAACCUUGCCAAUACCUUGAUUUCAAAUUUCCAGAACUGCAAGAGCAGACAUUUCUGUUGCUUUGAGUCAUCCGGCCACAUCUCCAGAUCUGAAAUGGAAAGGGCACAUAUUUAUUUGCUGGGGGCUGCAGUCUCUUUUCACCGUUAUUCGCAAUGACUCUGUUGGCUGCCCUGUUUGGGGCUGUGUUUGUCUGUCUGCCCGUCUCUGUUGUCACGCUAGUCCUGGAUCUGCCCCCAAACUACAGACAUUCUGCAGAGAUGGGACAAAACGAGGGAGAGUGGGCAAGGGGCUCCAGGAUUCCAUAAAACCGGCUCGACAAAGAGAAUGCCUGCUCAGAAGUCAAGAACUCCUGUGAUCUAAUUUGUGGGUGUCACCAUUACCUCCUCUCAGGGUGGAGACUGGGAGCUUGAGAAGAGAGAUGUGACUUGUCCAAAACCACAUGAUAACGUAGUGACUCAAAUCCAGCUCCAUGUGGAAGACUUCCCAGUGCCGUCUCUCCACCGCAACGCAUUUCCUCUUUUUACUACAGAAUUUCCCCCCUCCUUUCUUCUUUUAAAAACCAACAUUCCAUGACAUAUUUACAAUUUUACAGAGAAAAAAAAAACCUAAUCAAAAGUACAUCAAAUAAGCCCUAUACCUGUCCAGAUUCUUAUGGACGUGUGCGCACAGAUAUUUACCAGGUCAUCAUCAGCACAGGUAAGCGAUUCCAUAUUCUUGUCGCACUUAACUUUGCUCUGUCUAUCUCGUAUCAAGUGUUUGAGUUCUCCACUGUAUUGUUUUCACAGCAUUUGCCUAACUAUUCCCUAAUUACCUGCAUUUGGUAAAGAAAAAAGAAAGUGAAACACCUUUGUAUCUCUCAGUUUAUGAUCCAGGCUUCAUACAAAAUGAUGUGUUCCUAUGCCUGGGUUAUUUCACCAAUAUAGUCUAAGUAUUUGCCUUAAAGAACUUCAUCAGUUCUGUGCUUAACUUUGAUAACAUGUCUUAUCCAUUGGUUUAUUACAACUGUUUCCCUCUUCCAUUAACUUCGC